ACCUACCUAUUAGAGGGGGAUAACUAUUGGAAACGAUAGCUAAUACCGCAUAACAGUAUGUAACACAUGUUAGAUGCUUGAAAGAUGCAAUUGCAUCGCUAGUAGAUGGACCUGCGUUGUAUUAGCUAGUAGGUAGGGUAAAGGCCUACCUAGGCAACGAUACAUAGCCGACCUGAGAGGGUGAUCGGCCACACUGGGACUGAGACACGGCCCAGACUCCUACGGGAGGCAGCAGUAGGGAAUCUUCGGCAAUGGGGGGAACCCUGACCGAGCAACGCCGCGUGAGUGAAGAAGGUUUUCGGAUCGUAAAGCUCUGUUGUUAAGGAAGAACGAGUGUGAGAAUGGAAAGUUCAUGCUGUGACGGUACUUAACCAGAAAGGGACGGCUAACUACGUGCCAGCAGCCGCGGUAAUACGUAGGUCCCGAGCGUCGUCCGGAUUUAUUGGGCGUAAAGCGAGCGCAGGCGGUUAGAAAAGUCUGAAGUGAAAGGCAGUGGCUCAACCAUUGUAGGCUUUGGAAACUGUUUAACUUGAGUGCAGAAGGGGAGAGUGGAAUUCCAUGUGUAGCGGUGAAAUGCGUAGAUAUAUGGAGGAACA
Molecule: ribosomal RNA, 596 nt
Filed under: uncultured Bacilli bacterium
Lineage: Bacteria; Bacillati; Bacillota; Bacilli
Description: bacterial SSU rRNA
Rfam family: Bacterial small subunit ribosomal RNA
Source: RNAcentral